This 603-nucleotide ribosomal RNA is filed under the name uncultured bacterium. Its description in RNAcentral is "bacterial SSU rRNA". It matches the Rfam family "Bacterial small subunit ribosomal RNA", at positions 891 to 1503 of the family's 1533-position model. The record is from RNAcentral.
ACGGUGAAACUCAAAGGAAUUGACGGGGGCCCGCACAAGCGGAGGAACAUGUGGUUUAAUUCGAUGAUACGCGAGGAACCUUACCCGGGCUCAAACGACGGAUGGAUGUUUCUGAAAGGAGGCAGUCCUACGGGACAUCCGUCGAGGUGCUGCAUGGUUGUCGUCAGCUCGUGCCGUGAGGUGUCGGCUUAAGUGCCAUAACGAGCGCAACCCCCAUCGCCAGUUACCAGCAAGUAAAGUUGGGGACUCUGGCGAGACUGCCGGCGCAAGUUGUGAGGAAGGCGGGGAUGACGUCAAAUCAGCACGGCCCUUACGUCCGGGGCGACACACGUGUUACAAUGGCAGGUACAGAGAGAAGCGAUGCGGCGACGCAGAGCGGAACUUCAAAGCCUGUCUCAGUUCGGAUUGGAGUCUGCAACCCGACUCCAUGAAGCUGGAUUCGCUAGUAAUCGCGCAUCAGCCACGGCGCGGUGAAUACGUUCCCGGGCCUUGUACACACCGCCCGUCAAGCCAUGGAAGCCGGGAGUGCCUGAAGUGUGCAACCGCAAGGAGCGCCCUAAGGUAAAACCGGUGACUGGGGCUAAGUCGUAACAAGGUAGCCGU